UAUUAUCUAUUGAAGUCAUUUUUGAUAACUUGAAAUUUCUAGUUUUUGAGCCUAGCAUGAUAUAAAAGAUGGUCAAAUUUGGAAAUUCUAGAUGAUUUUGCAACAUUUAUGAUCCUUCUCAUUUUUUUUGACACGGGAAGGUGUUGGGAUUACGAAGGAAAAGGGUUUAGGUGCAUACAGGUUCUCAAUCUCAUGGUCCCGAUUACCAAGUAAGAUACUGAUAUGAACUGACCUGUUAUAAGAAUUCAGAGAAAAAUGAGAAGGAAAGAAAGGGGAAAAAGAAGAAAAACGCAUUUAAAAAUGGGCAUCAUCAAGUUUUUAUCAUGGUUUGGAAUUACACGUGGUAGCAUUUAUCCUAUGUUUGGGUCAGAUGAAAAGCUAAGUGGCGGUGUGUACAUGGAAGGAAUCAAAUACUACAACAACCUCAUCAAUGAACUUAUAACCAAAGGUCCUGAUUCAAUCCAAUUAUUCCAUCAUAUAUCAUCUAUUUUUUCAGCUUCUCAUAAUCUGCCCUUGAGUUCAUGAUAAUUAAAUGCCAGGUCUAAAGCCCUUUGUGACACUCUUUCACUUUGAUCUUCCCCAAUCCUUGGAAGAUGAUUAUGGUGGUUUCUUAAGUCCACUUAUUGAGCAAGUGACACAGAAAAUUAUGAUCCUCUAUCCGUCUGAUUAGGUGGUUCUUAAGUCCACACAUUGUGAAUUUGGCGAUCGGGUGAAGCACUGUAUCACACUGAAUGUGCCAACGAGCUACAGUGUAGGUGGUUAAGCAUCUGGGGCUAUACUGCCAGGGCAAUGUUCUGAUUGGCAAAAUCAUUAUUGCACUAAAGGAAAUUCUGGAUCAGAACCAUAUUUGGUGAUACACCACCAACUUGUUGCCCAUGCAGACAGGCAAAAGUAUCAGGGUUGGAUGCUCUGAGAUGUCUUGUGAUGACAUGUCUUGGACUAGGGUUGAUCAUUCAACUUGAAGCGUUUAAUAGUGCUAUCGCACUGCCACUAGGAGGUGAUGUUCUGUGAGUGGCCCUUUUAGAUCAGUGAGUUUUCUUACGGGUGCCUUUGGUUUUGUUGCUGCUGGUGUGAUAUGGGUGGUAGCUUGUGAGUUUGUGGAUCUGAGGUGGGUGCAGUAUUGGGUGGUAGCUUGUGAGUUUGUGUUUUAUGUGGUGGUUUGUCUGCCACCUGAUGUUAUGCCUUUUGAUGUGUUGGUGGAUAUGGCAUAUUGCACAAAUCUGUCUCUAACAGUACCAGUAUGCAGGCUUCUCUGAAAUGGUUGUUCUAACCAUCGGGUUCAUUUGUUAUAGAUCUUGCCGAAGUGCAAAGCUUUGCCUCUACUUAUGGUUGUGGAGUUGUUCAUGGUAGUGACAUGGAAACACAUCAACGGGGGCUGUCGGUGACAACCAUGUGGGUGGUUUUGUGUGUGCUGGUUUUCCCUCUACAUGUGAUUUUGGAAUGCUUUGGAGUUUUGUGAUAGUGGCAAGGAAGCUUGUGGAUUGUUCUACCUGGCACUUCCCUCCCUCUGUGUUAGUGGGAGCUAGAGAUCUUGCUCUAGCAAGGAGACCCAUUGAUGUCAUCCGGCUUGAUUCGUCCAAGUAAACUAGCGUGCUGGGUUGGUAGUUUGAAAGAAGGUUGGUGAAGUAUUUUAGGUUUCAGCUUAGAGUGCAUCGUGGUCACUGACCGCCUACUAAUGUUGCUCGAGUUGUGCACGAAGAUGGUAAUUAUCCUUGGAUGGCUCAACUAUUUUCAUACUUUUACAUACGAUUGUGAUGAUCAUAGGUUGAGCUUGCAAAGACAAUUUAGGUUUUUAAUCACAGAGGAAUUAGUUUCAUGGUUUAUUAAGGGUCAAGAUUUGUAACGGCCAUAGACUCGGUGUAUAUUUUAAGGGAGUAGGCUACUUAUCUCUCCUCAAUUCGAGGAGUUGGUUAUUUUUUGUAUUAAGGCAUUGGCUCCUUAAUAUUUGCAUUGGGCUCUUUUAUAUUAUUCUUGACAUUUUUUGGCUUAACGUUGACUUACCUUACUCAAAACACGUAUUAUAUCAGUCUAUUAGUAAACAGAUAGGGAUAAUGCCAUAUCGACCACUAUCAAAUUAAGGAAGUUAAACAAACCAAAAAAACUAUUAUGAAAAUAAGCAAUGACUUUCCUCUUAGGAUUUGACAACAAACCAACAUUGUGAAGCAUGUGGAAUAAAAGCUUUCUAAGUUUAACUGAUAGAGAAAAAAAGAUUUUUAAGUUUUAACCUGCCUGAAAUUUUCUAAAGCUAGCAAUUUCCACAACCUCCAUGGGUUAUAUAUAAGAAAUGCCCAAAACUAGCAGGUUCAAUUAACUUAGAGCUAUCAUGAAUAUUUGUUAUGAAAAGUGUAAUUACAAUGCAUUGUUGCAGGUUAAUGAACCCCUUGAUCAAUGGUGACCAUCCACAUAGCAUGCGAUCUCUGGUUGGAAACCGAUUACCCAAAUUUACCAAAGAAUAAGCUUGUAAACAGGUCAUUUGAAUUUAUCAGAUUAAACUACUAUACUGCCUAUUAUGCAGCCUAUGCACCUCAACAUAAUGCUGGAAAUGCAAGCUACUUGACAGGUUCUCGUGCUAAUCUUUCAAGUAAGUGAAAACUCAACACUCGGAAGUAAUGAUUACGUUGGUUUAUGUUCCAAUAUUAACAAUAACAUGUCUUUGCUGUGCAUGGCAGCUGAGCACAAUGGAAUCCCCAUUGGUCCACAGAUGUGUUCUAUAUAUGUCAAAAGUUUUGAAUUUUAAAACAAUCAUGGUCCAAAAUAUAUCAAUUUCUUUAUUCUUUUUCCAAAUAGAAACAUCCUCAGUAGUAUUGAAGCAAGACCUUUGGGCUGACUCACUUUACAAACAAGCACAAAUGGAAAGGGUUAUUCGGUGUUAACCUCUGUUUU
Long non-coding RNA from Juglans regia (Persian walnut), 2883 nucleotides. RefSeq lists it as uncharacterized. Lineage: Eukaryota; Viridiplantae; Streptophyta; Magnoliopsida; Fagales; Juglandaceae. The record is from RefSeq and is a predicted model, not a curated record. The transcript is spliced from 3 exons.